GCCUGGGUGGCACAGCGGUUAAGCGUCUGACUUCGGCUCAGGGCGUGAUCCCGGCUUUGUGGGAUCGAGCCCCACGUCAGGCU
This is a non-coding RNA of Ailuropoda melanoleuca (giant panda), 83 nucleotides long. NCBI's taxonomy places the organism in Eukaryota, Metazoa, Chordata, Mammalia, Carnivora, Ursidae. The record is from Rfam.